Molecule: long non-coding RNA, 2511 nt
Filed under: Ovis aries (sheep)
Lineage: Eukaryota; Metazoa; Chordata; Mammalia; Artiodactyla; Bovidae
Description: lncRNA (ENSOARG00000025656.1)
Source: RNAcentral
AUGAGAAACCCCUCAUCCAGCCAAGGUGAAGCCUCCUGCCCUCGACAGUCUUCCCUGCUUUUCUUCUGCUCAUUUGAAAACAUGGUUGAAACAAAGCCAACACUAACUACAAAGACAACACUCUUAAGAGAACAGAUGAAGAAGCUGAAAGAAAACAGAGUCCUUCAAUGCUUCAAGGCCGGAAGGCGUGGACUGUUUUAUGAGAGAAAAACGAACUUACUUAACCAAGCAUUUUUUGUUGUUGUUCUUGUUACAACUUGUCUAUGUAUCCUGGCAUGUUUUUCUUUCAAUAUUAAAUAAUGGUGAGUGAAAGUUGCUCAGUCGUGUCCAACUCUUUGUGACCCCAUGGACUAUACAGUUCAUGGAAUUCUCCAGGCCAGAAUACUGGAGUGGGUAGCCUUUUCUUCUCCAGGGGAUUUUCCCAACCCAAGGAUCGAACCCAGGUCUCCCAUAUUGCAGGCAAUUCUUUACCAGCUGAACCACCAGGGAAGCUCAAGAACACUGGAGUGGGUAGCCUAUCCUUUCUCCAAUGGAUCUUCCUGACCCAGGAAUUGAACACAGGGUCUCCUGCAUUGCAGGCAGAUUCUUUACCCACUGAGCUAUUUGGGGCCAAAUAGAAUUUAAUUUACAAGAGUUACUUCCCUUAGUUGCACAGAACAUUUUUUUUUUUUCCUAGAAAGUUCGAAAAAUUUUCUUUUUCUGAAAAUUUGGGAAUCCCAAAUGUUAAAGGACUUCCAAAAAGGUUUCCUGAUGUUACUUCUUCAUCACCAAUCCAUAUUCGCCUUCAGCUGCCACGUUGCCACUGUUGGCUACCUCCUCAUUGUGAAACAGAAUGAACUGAGUCCAUGCUAACCCUAGAGCUCAGACUGUAGUCCUGACACCCUAUUUCCAGUGUGAUUGGAGGAGUCAAACUAUGGUUUAGUUUCUCUCAGCAGCUGUCACUUCCUUAUGAGGUCAGCACAUUGCUAUGUUCAAGUUGCAAAGACAAAAAACCUCACAAUAGACUGAGGCUCUUAUACAGCUAGUCAGAGUCCACCAUCUCUGUAAAUAAACCCCACCUAUUUUCAGCCUUAUACCACUCCUUUAACUCAUCUCAUAGCGUGCGUGCUUAGUCAUGUCUGACUCUCUGUGACUCCGUGGACAGUAGCUGCCAGGCUCCUCUGUCCACGGGAUUCUCUAGGCAAGGAUCCUGGAAUGGGUUGCCAUGCCCUCCUCCAGGGGAUCUUCCCCACCCAGGGAUCACACUUGCGGCUCUUGUGUCUCCUGAAUUGGCAGGUGGAUUCUUCAGCACUGCACCACCUGGGAAGGCCCUCCUUUCACUACCACUUCUCAAUUCUCACUCUGACCCAAGCAAAUUUACAAAGUCACCUUACAAGGAAUUUACUAUGUCUUCCCAGUGUGCGAUGGUAAACUUUUUGUAGGCUUGCAGAAUUUAUGAUUAUUUUGUAUUUCCCACGUGUCUAAGAGUGUAUUCGAUUUUAUAUAUUCAGAUCAGCAGUUUAAUAAAUAGUCAUUAAAUAUUUUCCUGUGUUUCCAAUAAAUCUCUCAGUGAGAAAAACAUUUUACAUGAAAGUGUAGGGAUUUCUCUGGUGGUCCAGUGGUUCCAUGCUCCCAAUGCAGAGGGCUUGGGUUCAAUCCCUGGUCAGGGAACUAGAUCCCACACGCCACAACUAAAAAUCACACACGCCGCAAUGAAGAUCAAAGAUCCCGAGUGCCUCAAUUAAGGCGGGUACAGCCAAAUAAAUAAAUAAUUUUUUAAAGAAAAGAAAACGUAUAAUUCUGGAACCUGUAGUUGAGGCUUAAGUAUCUUGCCAAGACUGUGUGUCUAGUUGUAUAUAUUUUUCUUUAUAAACAAAGAAUUGAAGAUAAUCUAAAUGUUAAACAAUAGAAAAUUGACUAUAUUUUAAUAUGCACAAUUAGAAUACUAUUGAGCCUCUUAACUAUGUGUGCGGGUCUAUGUGUUGAUUACAAUCACCCAGAGAAAUUCUGAAAAACAACAGAUCAAUGGUAUUGAAGGGAAAAGAUGGGGAUAAAGACUGGGUCAUGGAGAUAAUUACUGUUGAAAUUAAGCAACAUGUGUAUGGGUGUUCAUUAUACUGUUCCUUCCACUCUGUACAUGUUUGAAAUGUUCUGUAAUAAAAAAUGGUUAGGGACUUUCCUAGUGGUCCAGUAGCUAAGACUCCCACUCACAAUGCACGGGGCCUGGGUUCAAUCCCUGUUCAGGAAACGAGAUCCCACAUGCUACAAUGAAGAUCGAAGAUCCUGCACGCCACAGCUAGAACUAGCCCAGCCAAAUGAAUAAAUGAAUACAUUUUUUAAAAGCUUAGUUUUGUGAAUCCUACUCCAGGUUUCUUGAAUCAGAAUAGCAACAGAUAGGACAGAGGAAUCUGUUUUUUGAAUUUCCCCAGGUGAUUCUGAAGAUCAUCCAGCAUAUCCGGGAACACCUGAAAAUUCGGAUGGCAUCAGAGAGGCAGCGCCUACUACGCAUGAAAAAGGAAAUUAUGGAUCUUU